AGAGGAGGUGCGAUGGCCGUCGUCAGUUCGUACUGUGAAGCAUCCUGUUAAGUCAGGCAACGAGCGAGACCCACGCCAACAGUUGCCAGCAUGUCCUCCGGGAUGAUGGGGACACUGUUGGGACCGCCUCUGCUAAAGAGGAGGAAGGAAUGGGCAACGGUAGGUCAGCAUGCCCCGAAUUAUCCGGGCUACACGCGGGCUACAAUGGUCAGGACAAUGGGUAUCGACACCGAGAGGUGGAGGCAAUCUCCUAAACCUGUCCUUAGUUCGGAUUGUGGGCUGCAACUCGCCCACAUGAAGUUGGAAUCCGUAGUAAUCGCGUUUCAAAAUAGCGCGGUGAAUAUGUCCCUGCUCCUU
Molecule: ribosomal RNA, 357 nt
Filed under: uncultured Methanolinea sp.
Lineage: Archaea; Methanobacteriati; Methanobacteriota; Methanomicrobia; Methanomicrobiales; Methanoregulaceae
Description: bacterial SSU rRNA
Rfam family: Archaeal small subunit ribosomal RNA
Source: RNAcentral